CAACACAAUGCAGUCGAGCGGAACGAGUUAUCUGAACCUUCGGGGAACGAUAACGGCGUCGAGCGGCGGACGGGUGAGUAAUGCCUGGGAAAUUGCCCUGAUGUGGGGGAUAACCAUUGGAAACGAUGGCUAAUACCGCAUAAUAGCUUCGGCUCAAAGAGGGGGACCUUCGGGCCUCUCGCGUCAGGAUAUGCCCAGGUGGGAUUAGCUAGUUGGUGAGGUAAGGGCUCACCAAGGCGACGAUCCCUAGCUGGUCUGAGAGGAUGAUCAGCCACACUGGAACUGAGACACGGUCCAGACUCCUACGGGAGGCAGCAGUGGGGAAUAUUGCACAAUGGGCGCAAGCCUGAUGCAGCCAUGCCGCGUGUGUGAAGAAGGCCUUCGGGUUGUAAAGCACUUUCAGUCGUGAGGAAGGUAGUGUGUUUAAUAGAUGCAUUAUUUGACGUUAGCGACAGAAGAAGCACCGGCUAACUCCGUGCCAGCAGCCGCGGUAAUACGGAGGGUGCGAGCGUUAAUCGGAAUUACUGGGCGUAAAGCGCAUGCAGGUGGUGUGUUAAGUCAGAUGUGAAAGCCCGGGGCUCAACCUCGGAAUUGCAUUUGAAACUGGCAGACUAGAGUACUGUAGAGGGGGGUAGAAUUUCAGGUGUAGCGGUGAAAUGCGUAGAGAUCUGAAGGAAUACCGGUGGCGAAGGCGGCCCCCUGGACAGAUACUGACACUCAGAUGCGAAAGCGUGGGGAGCAAACAGGAUUAGAUACCCUGGUAGUCCACGCCGUAAACGAUGUCUACUUGGAGGUUGUGGCCUUGAGCCGUGGCUUUCGGAGCUAACGCGUUAAGUAGACCGCCUGGGGAGUACGGUCGCAAGAUUAAAACUCAAAUGAAUUGACGGGGGCCCGCACAAGCGGUGGAGCAUGUGGUUUAAUUCGAUGCAACGCGAAGAACCUUACCUACUCUUGACAUCCAGAGAACUUUCCAGAGAUGGAUUGGUGCCUUCGGGAACUCU
This 1001-nucleotide ribosomal RNA is filed under the name Vibrio harveyi. RNAcentral's name for it is "bacterial SSU rRNA". It matches the Rfam family "Bacterial small subunit ribosomal RNA", at positions 49 to 1030 of the family's 1533-position model. The record is from RNAcentral. Lineage: Bacteria; Pseudomonadati; Pseudomonadota; Gammaproteobacteria; Vibrionales; Vibrionaceae.